GUAUUAAUAAAGGGUGAAAUCAAUUUUUUAAUGUAUAAUUGAUUUUUUGAGUUAAAAUUUAUUGAAGUUGUUAAGGUUAAGGUAUGGACCAGGAUUAGAUACCCUGUUACACUUUGCUUAAAAUUAGAUACCUAGGUAGUAAGCAGUUAUGGUCUUGAAACUUAAAGGAUUUGGCGGUAACUUAGUCUAGUUAGAGGAACCUGUCCUGUAAUCGAUAUACCACGAAGAAUCUUACUUUAUUUUGAAAUGUUCAGUUUAUAUACCGUCAUUAUUAGAUAACUUUAAUAAAAUGGAAGUUGUUGAAAUAAUCUUAAGUUAGUAUAUUAGAUCAAGGUGUAGCUUAUAAUAAAGAAGAGAUGGGUUACAAUAAUAUUAGUUUAUACGAAUAAAAGAAAGAAUUAUUUUUUUGAAGGAGGAUUUAAAUGUAAAAUUAUUUUAAUAUGAUAGUUUGAUUUUAGCUCUAGGUUAUGUACACAUCGCCCGUCGCUCUCGUUAUAUAAAGC
This 503-nucleotide ribosomal RNA is filed under the name Parapenaeopsis cornuta. RNAcentral describes it as "partial 12S ribosomal RNA". The record is from RNAcentral. Lineage: Eukaryota; Metazoa; Arthropoda; Malacostraca; Decapoda; Penaeidae.